GUGGGGAAUAUUGGGCAAUGGGCGCAAGCCUGACCCAGCAACGCCGCGUGAGGGAAGAAGGCUUUCGGGUUGUAAACCUCUGUCCUUGGUGACGAAACAAAUGACGGUAGCCAAGGAGGAAGCCCCGGCUAACUACGUGCCAGCAGCCGCGGUAAUACGUAGGGGGCGAGCGUUGUCCGGAAUUACUGGGCGUAAAGGGUGCGUAGGUGGCCUUGUAAGUUGGAUGUGAAAUACCCGGGCUUAACUUGGGGGGUGCAUCUAAUACUGGAGGGCUAGAGUGCAGGAGAGGAAAGCGGAAUUCCUAGUGUAGCGGUGAAAUGCGUAGAUAUUGGGAAGAACACCGGUGGCGAAGGCGACUUGCUGGGCAGCAACUGACGCUGAGGCGCGAAAGCCAGGGGAGCAAACGGGAUUAGAUACCCCUGUAGUCC
Molecule: ribosomal RNA, 428 nt
Filed under: uncultured bacterium
Lineage: Bacteria
Description: partial 16S ribosomal RNA
Rfam family: Bacterial small subunit ribosomal RNA
Source: RNAcentral